Molecule: transfer RNA, 144 nt
Filed under: Phyllobacteriaceae bacterium
Lineage: Bacteria; Pseudomonadati; Pseudomonadota; Alphaproteobacteria; Hyphomicrobiales; Phyllobacteriaceae
Description: tRNA-Val
Source: RNAcentral
GGUUGCGUAGCUCAGAAAAAGAUCGUAGACUGCGCAAGCAGCUGAAUUCAUUCAGUCUUUUGCGAGGAGCCUGAAAGGCGACGGUGGGAGAGCACUACGUUGACAUCGUAGGGGUCACAGGUUCAAUCCCUGUCACGCCCACCA